CCUACGGGUGGCAGCAGUGAGGAAUAUUGGUCAAUGGCCGGAAGGCUGAACCAGCCAAGUCGCGUGAGGGAAUAAGGCCCUAUGGGUCGUAAACCUCUUUUGUCAGGGAGCAAAGGCGUCCACGUGUGGACGAGAGGAGAGGACCUGAAGAAAAAGCAUAGGCGAACUCGGUGCCAGCAGCCGCGGUAAUACGGAGGAUGCGAGCUUUAGCAGGAUUUCUUGGGUUUAAAGGGUGCGUAGGCGGAGUGUCAAGUCAGCGGUAAAAUUUCGGGGCUCACCCCCGUCGUGCCGUUGAAACUGGCGCCCUUGAGUGCGUGUGCAGUAAGCGGAAUGCGUGGUGUAGCGGU
This 347-nucleotide ribosomal RNA is filed under the name uncultured bacterium. Its description in RNAcentral is "partial 16S ribosomal RNA". It matches the Rfam family "Bacterial small subunit ribosomal RNA", at positions 338 to 682 of the family's 1533-position model. The record is from RNAcentral.